Molecule: long non-coding RNA, 526 nt
Filed under: Monodelphis domestica (gray short-tailed opossum)
Lineage: Eukaryota; Metazoa; Chordata; Mammalia; Didelphimorphia; Didelphidae
Description: lncRNA (ENSMODG00000040707.1)
Source: RNAcentral
GACACCCCGGGAAGGCGGCUCCCGUUGGUGCCUGUUCUGACCUGUGACAGAUUGUACGUCUAGUGGAAGUCACAAUGAAGUGAUGGGACGGAGGGAGGCUAAGGCUUAGGGAACACUGCUCUCCCCUCUGAGCUCUGUAAUUUUGUUAUAAAUGGAGGUGUUAAUGACUUCUGAAAGGACCCCAAGGCCAACAGAAGAGAAGGAACAGAAGCAACGAAUUGGGGCAUCAGGAACUCAUAUCACCCAGAGAAAUGAGCGAUUUGAUGUCAGCCAAUCAGUCAACAAACGCUGAUUAACUCUGUGCCCAGGCUUGGGAUGCAAACAAAGGCAAAAACACUGUGGGAAGAAAGUCAUACCAAAGGCAGAAAUGUAAGACAAAAAGCAGGAGAGGUGUCUAAGUCUGAAAAUAAUAACCCAGGUUGAUGGACUUUCAGAGCUGACAUCUUCCCAGCCGCAAGCCAACGAAGAUGUCACGUAUCCCCGAACCCCAGCAGAUGGUAGCAGAAUAAAGUGGAGGCACCCAGCA